CGCGUAGGCGGUUUGUUUAGUUAGGCGUGAAAUUCCUGGGCUUAACCUGGAGACUGCGCUUAAUACAGGCAGACUUGAGUUCGGAAGAGGGUCGUGGAAUUCCCAGUGUAGAGGUGAAAUUCGUAGAUAUUGGGAAGAACACCGGUGGCGAAGGCGGCGACCUGGUCCGAUACUGACGCUGAGGCGCGAAAGCGUGGGGAGCAAACA
Molecule: ribosomal RNA, 207 nt
Filed under: uncultured bacterium
Lineage: Bacteria
Description: partial 16S ribosomal RNA
Rfam family: Bacterial small subunit ribosomal RNA
Source: RNAcentral